GGGUUGUGAGGUUAAGCGACUAAGCGUACACGGUGGAUGCCCUGGCAGUCAGAGGCGAUGAAGGGCGUGCUAAUCUGCGAUAAGCGCCGGUAAGGUGAUAUGAACCGUUAUAACCGGCGAUACCCGAAUGGGGAAACCCAGUGUGACUCGUCACACUAUCAUUAACUGAAUCCAUAGGUUAAUGAGGCGAACCGGGGGAACUGAAACAUCUAAGUACCCCGAGGAAAAGAAAUCAACCGAGAUUCCCCCAGUAGCGGCGAGCGAACGGGGAGGAGCCCAGAGCCUGAAUCAGCAUGUGUGUUAGUGGAAGCGUCUGGAAAGGCGCGCGAUACAGGGUGACAGCCCCGUACACAAAAGCGCAUGUGCUGUGAGCUCGAUGAGUAGGGCGGGACACGUGGUAUCCUGUCUGAAUAUGGGGGGACCAUCCUCCAAGGCUAAAUACUCCUGACUGACCGAUAGUGAACCAGUACCGUGAGGGAAAGGCGAAAAGAACCCCGGCGAGGGGAGUGAAAAAGAACCUGAAACCGUGUACGUACAAGCAGUGGGAGCACCCUUCGGGGUGUGACUGCGUACCUUUUGUAUAAUGGGUCAGCGACUUAUAUUCUGUAGCAAGGUUAACCGAAUAGGGGAGCCGGAGGGAAACCGAGUCUUAAUUGGGCGUUAAGUUGCAGGGUAUAGACCCGAAACCCGGUGAUCUAGCCAUGGGCAGGUUGAAGGUUGGGUAACACUAACUGGAGGACCGAACCGACUAAUGUUGAAAAAUUAGCGGAUGACCUGUGGCUGGGGGUGAAAGGCCAAUCAAACCGGGAGAUAGCUGGUUCUCCCCGAAAGCUAUUUAGGUAGCGCCUCGUGAAUUCAUCUCCGGGGGUAGAGCACUGUUUCGGCUAGGGGGCCAUCCCGGCUUACCAACCCGAUGCAAACUGCGAAUACCGGAGAAUGUUAUCACGGGAGACACACGGCGGGUGCUAACGUCCGUCGUGAAGAGGGAAACAACCCAGACCGCCAGCUAAGGUCCCAAAGUCAUGGUUAAGUGGGAAACGAUGUGGGAAGGCCCAGACAGCCAGGAUGUUGGCUUAGAAGCAGCCAUCAUUUAAAGAAAGCGUAAUAGCUCACUGGUCGAGUCGGCCUGCGCGGAAGAUGUAACGGGGCUAAACCAUGCACCGAAGCUGCGGCAGCGAACGUAUCACCCAAGACAACUUUACGGAGUUGACGAUUGACGGAGCGAAGCGACGUCAAAGCGUUCAUUAAAGUCGAGUUGGCUUAGGGAUACGUUCGUUGGGUAGGGGAGCGUUCUGUAAGCCUGUGAAGGUGGCCUGUGAGGGUUGCUGGAGGUAUCAGAAGUGCGAAUGCUGACAUAAGUAACGAUAAAGCGGGUGAAAAGCCCGCUCGCCGGAAGACCAAGGGUUCCUGUCCAACGUUAAUCGGGGCAGGGUGAGUCGACCCCUAAGGCGAGGCCGAAAGGCGUAGUCGAUGGGAAACGGGUUAAUAUUCCCGUACUUGGUGUUACUGCGAAGGGGGGACGGAGAAGGCUAUGUUGGCCGGGCGACGGUUGUCCCGGUUUAAGCGUGUAGGCUGGUUUUCCAGGCAAAUCCGGAAAAUCAAGGCUGAGGCGUGACGACGAGGCACUACGGUGCUGAAGCAACAAAUGCCCUGCUUCCAGGAAAAGCCUCUAAGCAUCAGGUAACAUCAAAUCGUACCCCAAACCGACACAGGUGGUCAGGUAGAGAAUACCAAGGCGCUUGAGAGAACUCGGGUGAAGGAACUAGGCAAAAUGGUGCCGUAACUUCGGGAGAAGGCACGCUGACACGUAGGUGAAGUGAUUUACUCAUGGAGCUGAAGUCAGUCGAAGAUACCAGCUGGCUGCAACUGUUUAUUAAAAACACAGCACUGUGCAAACACGAAAGUGGACGUAUACGGUGUGACGCCUGCCCGGUGCCGGAAGGUUAAUUGAUGGGGUCAGCGCAAGCGAAGCUCCUGAUCGAAGCCCCGGUAAACGGCGGCCGUAACUAUAACGGUCCUAAGGUAGCGAAAUUCCUUGUCGGGUAAGUUCCGACCUGCACGAAUGGCGUAAUGAUGGCCAGGCUGUCUCCACCCGAGACUCAGUGAAAUUGAACUCGCUGUGAAGAUGCAGUGUACCCGCGGCAAGACGGAAAGACCCCGUGAACCUUUACUAUAGCUUGACACUGAACAUUGAGCCUUGAUGUGUAGGAUAGGUGGGAGGCUUUGAAGUGUGGACGCCAGUCUGCAUGGAGCCGACCUUGAAAUACCACCCUUUAAUGUUUGAUGUUCUAACGUGGACCCGUAAUCCGGGUUGCGGACAGUGUCUGGUGGGUAGUUUGACUGGGGCGGUCUCCUCCUAAAGAGUAACGGAGGAGCACGAAGGUUGGCUAAUCCUGGUCGGACAUCAGGAGGUUAGUGCAAUGGCAUAAGCCAGCUUGACUGCGAGCGUGACGGCGCGAGCAGGUGCGAAAGCAGGUCAUAGUGAUCCGGUGGUUCUGAAUGGAAGGGCCAUCGCUCAACGGAUAAAAGGUACUCCGGGGAUAACAGGCUGAUACCGCCCAAGAGUUCAUAUCGACGGCGGUGUUUGGCACCUCGAUGUCGGCUCAUCACAUCCUGGGGCUGAAGUAGGUCCCAAGGGUAUGGCUGUUCGCCAUUUAAAGUGGUACGCGAGCUGGGUUUAGAACGUCGUGAGACAGUUCGGUCCCUAUCUGCCGUGGGCGCUGGAGAACUGAGGGGGGCUGCUCCUAGUACGAGAGGACCGGAGUGGACGCAUCACUGGUGUUCGGGUUGUCAUGCCAAUGGCACUGCCCGGUAGCUAAAUGCGGAAAAGAUAAGUGCUGAAAGCAUCUAAGCACGAAACUUGCCCCGAGAUGAGUUCUCCCUGAGACUUUAGGUCUCCUGAAGGAACGUUGAAGACGACGACGUUGAUAGGCCGGGUGUGUAAGCGCAGCGAUGCGUUGAGCUAACCGGUACUAAUGAACCGUGAGGCUUAACCUUACAACGCCGAAG
Molecule: ribosomal RNA, 3009 nt
Filed under: Salmonella enterica subsp. enterica serovar Uganda
Lineage: Bacteria; Pseudomonadati; Pseudomonadota; Gammaproteobacteria; Enterobacterales; Enterobacteriaceae
Description: 23S ribosomal RNA
Rfam family: Bacterial large subunit ribosomal RNA
Source: RNAcentral